This 494-nucleotide ribosomal RNA is filed under the name uncultured bacterium. RNAcentral describes it as "partial 16S ribosomal RNA". It matches the Rfam family "Bacterial small subunit ribosomal RNA", at positions 28 to 507 of the family's 1533-position model. The record is from RNAcentral.
GACGAACGCUGGCGGCGUGCUUAACACAUGCAAGUCGAACGGAAAGGCCUGCUUUCCCUUGUGGAUUGCGGGUGCUCGCGUGGCGAACGGGUGAGUAACACGUGAGUGAUCUGCCCCCAACUUGGGUAUAAGCCUGGGAAACUGGGUCUAAUUCCCGAUAGGACUGCAGGGUGGUGCCUGUGGUGGAAAACGAUUUUCUAGUGGUUGGGGAUGAGCUCGCGGCCUAUCAGCUUGUUGGUGGGGUAAUGGCCUACCAAGGCGGCGACGGGUAGCCGGCCUGGGAGCGGGGACAGCCACAUUGGGACUGGGACACGGCCCAGACGCGUACGGGAGGCAGCAGAUGGGAAGAUAGCGGAAUGAGCGGAAGCCUGAUGCAGCGACGGAGUGUGGGGGAUGUCGGGCUUCGGAUAGUAAGCUACUAUCGACCGAGAGGAAGCUACCUGGUUGGAAGGGUGGUGACGGUAGUGGUAGAAGAAGCACCGGCUAACUACGUG